AGUGAACGCUGGCGGUAGGCCUAACACAUGCAAGUCGAACGGCAGCACAGUAAGAGCUUGCUCUUACGGGUGGCGAGUGGCGGACGGGUGAGGAAUACAUCGGAAUCUACUUUUUCGUGGGGGAUAACGUAGGGAAACUUACGCUAAUACCGCAUACGACCUACGGGUGAAAGCAGUGGAUCUUCGGACCUUGCGCGAUUGAAUGAGCCGAGCGCGGAUUAGCUAGUUGGCGGGGUAAAGGCCCACCAAGGCGACGAUCCGUAGCUGGUCCGAGAGGAUGGUCCGCCACACUGGGACCGGGACAAGGUCCAGACCCCUAAGGGGGGGAGCAGUGGGGGAUAUUGGAGAAUGGGGGGAAGCCUGAUCCAGCCAUACCGCGUGGGUGAAGAAGGGCUUCGGGUUGUAAAGCCCUUUUGUUGAGAAAGAAAAGAAGCAGGUUAAUACCCCGCUGUUCUGACGGUACCCAAAGAAUAAGCACCGGCUAACUUCGUGC
Molecule: ribosomal RNA, 493 nt
Filed under: uncultured bacterium
Lineage: Bacteria
Description: partial 16S ribosomal RNA
Rfam family: Bacterial small subunit ribosomal RNA
Source: RNAcentral